GGCCAGACUCCUACGGGAGGCAGCAGUGGGGAAUAUUGCACAAUGGGGGAAACCCUGAUGCAGCGACGCCGCGUGAGUGAAGAAGUAAUUCGUUAUGUAAAGCUCUAUCAGCAGGGAAGAAAAUGACGGUACCUGAGUAAGAAGCCCCGGCUAACUACGUGCCAGCAGCCGCGGUAAUACGUAGGGGGCAAGCGUUAUCCGGAUUUACUGGGUGUAAAGGGAGCGCAGGCGGGAAGCCAAGUCAGCUGUGAAAACUGCGGGCUUAACUUGUAGACUGCAGUUGAAACUGGUUUUCUUGAGUGAAGUAGAGGUUGGCGGAAUUCCGAGUGUAGCGGUGAAAUGCGUAGAUAUUCGGAGGAACACCGGUGGCGAAGGCGGCCAACUGGGCUUUAACUGACGCUGAGGCUCGAAAGUGUGGGGAGCAAACAGGAUUAGAUACCCGAGUA
RNAcentral lists this ribosomal RNA (446 nucleotides) under uncultured bacterium. RNAcentral describes it as "bacterial SSU rRNA". It matches the Rfam family "Bacterial small subunit ribosomal RNA", at positions 329 to 792 of the family's 1533-position model. The record is from RNAcentral.